RNAcentral lists this ribosomal RNA (428 nucleotides) under uncultured bacterium. RNAcentral's name for it is "bacterial SSU rRNA". It matches the Rfam family "Bacterial small subunit ribosomal RNA", at positions 355 to 775 of the family's 1533-position model. The record is from RNAcentral.
UCGAGAAUCUUCCGCAAUGCGCGCAAGCGUGACGGAGCGACGCCGCGUGGGUGAUGAAGGCCUUCGGGUUGUAAAACCCUGUUAGCUACUAUGAACCGCAGGUGGUGAAUAGCCAUCCUGCCUGACGUAAGUAGCAGAGGAAGCACCGGCUAACUACGUGCCAGCAGCCGCGGUAAUACGUAGGGUGCGAACGUUGUUCGGAAUCACUGGGCAUAAAGGGCGCGUAGGCGGUCCAUUAAGUCCUUUGUGAAAGCCCCCGGCUCAACCGGGGAAUAGCAGGGGAUACUGUUGGGCUAGAGUGCAGGAGGGGAGAGCGGAAUUCCUGGUGGAGCGGUGAAAUGCGUAGAUAUCAGGAGGAACGCCGGUGGCGAAAGCGGCUCUCUGGUCUGUUACUGACGCUGAGGCGCGAAAGCUAGGGGAGCAAACGG